RNAcentral lists this ribosomal RNA (253 nucleotides) under uncultured bacterium. RNAcentral's name for it is "partial 16S ribosomal RNA". It matches the Rfam family "Bacterial small subunit ribosomal RNA", at positions 524 to 776 of the family's 1533-position model. The record is from RNAcentral.
UACGUAGGGGGCGAGCAUUGUCCGGAAUUACUGGGCGUAAAGGGCGCCUAGGCGGUUUUUUAAGUCCGCUGUGAAAGACCGAGGCUCAACCUCGGGAUGUCAGCGGAGACUGGAAGACUGGAGUGUCGGAGAGGAGUGCGGAAUUCCUGGUGUAGCGGUGGAAUGCGUAGAUAUCAGGAGGAACACCGAUGGCGAAGGCAGCACUCUGGCCGAAGACUGACGCUGAAGCGCGAAAGCUGGGGGAGCGAACGGG